AGUGAACGCUGGCGGUAGGCCUAACACAUGCAAGUCGAACGGCAGCACAGUAAGAGCUUGCUCUUACGGGUGGCGAGUGGCGGACGGGUGAGGAAUACAUCGGAAUCUACUUUUUCGUGGGGGAUAACGUAGGGAAACUUACGCUAAUACCGCAUACGACCUACGGGUGAAAGCAGGGGAUCUUCGGACCUUGCGCGAUUGAAUGAGCCGAUGUCGGAUGAGCUAGUUGGCGGGGUAAAGGCCCACCAAGGCGACGAUCCGUAGCUGGUCUGAGAGGAUGAUCAGCCACACGGGAAGUGAGACACGGUCCAGACUCCUACGGGAGGCAGCAGUGGGGAAUAUUGGACGAUGGGCGCAAGCCUGAUCCAGCCAUACCGCGUGGGUGAAGAAGGCCUUCGGGUUGUAAAGCCCUUUUGUUGGGAAAGAAAAGCAGCAGGUUAAUACCCCGCUGUUCUGACGGUACCCAAAGAAUAAGCACCGGCUAACUUCGUG
This 492-nucleotide ribosomal RNA is filed under the name uncultured bacterium. RNAcentral describes it as "partial 16S ribosomal RNA". It matches the Rfam family "Bacterial small subunit ribosomal RNA", at positions 29 to 507 of the family's 1533-position model. The record is from RNAcentral.